This 492-nucleotide ribosomal RNA is filed under the name uncultured bacterium. RNAcentral describes it as "partial 16S ribosomal RNA". It matches the Rfam family "Bacterial small subunit ribosomal RNA", at positions 29 to 507 of the family's 1533-position model. The record is from RNAcentral.
AGUGAACGCUGGCGGUAGGCCUAACACAUGCAAGUCGAACGGCAGCACAGUAAGAGCUUGCUCUUACGGGUGGCGAGUGGCGGACGGGUGAGGAAUACAUCGGAAUCUACUUUUUCGUGGGGGAUAACGUAGGUAAACUUACGCUAAUACCGCAUACGACCUACGGGUGAAAGCAGGGGAUCUUCGGACCUUGCGCGAUUGAAUGAGCCGAUGUCGGAUUAGCUAGUUGGCGGGGUAAAGGCCCACCAAGGCGACGAUCCGUAGCUGGUCUGAGAGGAUGGUCAGCCACACUGGAAGUGAGACACGGUCCAGAGGACUAAGGGAGGCAGCAGUGGGGAAUAGUGGACAAUGGGCGGAAGCCUGAUCCAGCCAGACCGCGUGGGUGAAGAAGGCCUUCGGGUUGUAAAGACCUUUUGUUGGGAAAGAAAAGCAGCAGGUUAAGACCCCGCUGUUCUGACGGUAACCAAAGAAGAAGCACCGGCUAACUUCGUG